This 233-nucleotide ribosomal RNA is filed under the name uncultured bacterium. RNAcentral's name for it is "partial 16S ribosomal RNA". It matches the Rfam family "Bacterial small subunit ribosomal RNA", at positions 118 to 351 of the family's 1533-position model. The record is from RNAcentral.
UGAGCAAUCUGCCCUUCUCAUCGGAAUAAGCGUUGGAAACGACGUCUAAUGCCGAAUACGACCUCCUUUCGCAUGAUCGGAGGUGGAAAGCUCCGGCGGAGAAGGAUGAGCUCGCGGCCUAUCAGCUAGUUGGUGUGGGUAACGGCCCACCAAGGCGACGACGGGUAGCCGGCCUGAGAGGGUGACCGGCCGCACUGGGACUGAGACACGGCCCAGACUCCUACGGGAGGNAG